UUAGCAGCACGGCUGAAACAAUGGCACAGCACAGACACAUGUUUUCAUUAAGGUCAUUUUUGAAGAGAUGCUUAUGACCCUCUUGCCCCAAUCCUCUACUAACAAGUGAACAAAAUGAAUCAAUCAAAACUGGAAAUGCUGCAACUACAUCAAGAAUUUAUCCAAUCUUUAGCGGAGGACUCACACAGGCUAAUUCACUAUUUACAACUGACAACAUGAAGAAGGCAACUGGCUGAGCUUCUUCAGGCUGAUGGUACCACAAACUGCAAGACAUUCUUGCAACACAUGAUUUUAAGACAUUAAGGGGUUAAAGACCAGGCAAUGUAGCUACAUGACUGCUGGAGUUUAACAGAUUGCUGCGUAUCCUAAGACAUGCUACACAGAAUAACCACAAAAAGGAAAACUUACAACUGUGAAAGCCUGAAAACAAAAUGG
Ochotona princeps (American pika) is the source of this 435-nucleotide long non-coding RNA. RefSeq lists it as uncharacterized. The transcript is spliced from 2 exons. Lineage: Eukaryota; Metazoa; Chordata; Mammalia; Lagomorpha; Ochotonidae. The record is from RefSeq and is a predicted model, not a curated record.